This 472-nucleotide ribosomal RNA is filed under the name uncultured bacterium. Its description in RNAcentral is "partial 16S ribosomal RNA". It matches the Rfam family "Bacterial small subunit ribosomal RNA", at positions 28 to 507 of the family's 1533-position model. The record is from RNAcentral.
GACGAACGCUGGCGGCGUGCUUAACACAUGCAAGUCGAGCGGAAAGGCCCUUCGGGGUUCUCGAGCGGCGAACGGGUGAGUAACACGUGAGUAAUCUGCCCUUGGCUUUGGGAUAACUACCGGAAACGGUGGCUAAUACCGGAUACGACAACCGUCUGCAUGGGCUGGUUGUGGAAAGUUUUUUCUGCCAGGGAUGUGCUCGCGGCCUAUCAGCUUGUUGGUGGGGUAAUGGCCUACCAAGGCUUCGACGGGUAGCCGGCCUGAGAGGGUGACCGGCCACACUGGGACUGAGACACGGCCCAGACUCCUACGGGAGGCAGCAGUGGGGAAUAUUGGACAAUGGGCGGAAGCCUGAUCCAGCAACGCCGCGUGAGGGAUGACGGCCUUCGGGUUGUAAACCUCUUUAAGUACCGACGAAGCGCCGAUGAUGGUGGUGACGGUAGGUACAGAAGAAGCACCGGCCAACUACGUG